AGAGUUUGAUUCUGGCUCAGGAUGAACGCUAGCUACAGGCUUAACACAUGCAAGUCGAGGGGCAGCAUGGGUAGCAAUACUCAGAUGGCGACCGGCGCACGGGUGAGUAACACGUAUCCAACCUGCCGCUUACUCGGGGAUAGCCUUUCGAAAGAAAGAUUAAUACCCGAUGGUAUAAAGAGUUCGCAUGUUCUCUUUAUUAAAGAAUUUCGGUAAGCGAUGGGGAUGCGUUCCAUUAGAUAGUUGGCGGGUAACGGCCCACCAAGUCUACGAUGGAUAGGGGUUCUGAGAGGAAGGUCCCCCACAUUGGAACUGAGACACGGUCCAAACUCCUACGGGAGGCAGCAGUGAGGAAUAUUGGUCAAUGGACGAGAGUCUGAACCAGCCAAAAGUAGCGUGAAGGAUGACUGCCCUAUGGGUUGUAAACUUCUUUUAUAAGGGAAUAAAGUGAGGGACGUGUCCCUUUUUGUAUGUACCUUAUGAAUAAGGAUCGGCUAACUCCGUGCCAGCCGCGGC
RNAcentral lists this ribosomal RNA (516 nucleotides) under uncultured bacterium. RNAcentral describes it as "bacterial SSU rRNA". It matches the Rfam family "Bacterial small subunit ribosomal RNA", at positions 8 to 518 of the family's 1533-position model. The record is from RNAcentral.